This 202-nucleotide unclassified non-coding RNA is filed under the name Hevea brasiliensis (rubber tree). The record is from RNAcentral. Lineage: Eukaryota; Viridiplantae; Streptophyta; Magnoliopsida; Malpighiales; Euphorbiaceae.
GUUCAAGCAUUUGGACAAGUUGGACGGAAUUUUCCCUUCAAAAGUAUUGUUUUCAAGAUUUAAAAUUUGUAGCCUGCGCAAACGGCCUAGUUCAGAAGGGAUUUCACCUUGUAUGCUGUUGUUUUGUAGCCGAAUCUUCCUAAGGAAACUAAUGUUUCCUAUGUAAGGAGACAAAUUGCCCACCAAGCCUUUAGAAUGAAGA